UUUUUUUGCAGCACUUCUCACUGGCUUAAAACUGGGAGACUUUGUUAAAGUUCUCACCAGCUUCAAACUAGAUGACCUGGUUAAUGUUCCCGUUGGUCUACUACUUGAAGCAGAGCUAAGUUUUGAAUUACUUGAAUUUCUUCGACGCAGGUUCUUACAAUCCGAAGCAGUUGUAGCAUUCAAGGAACUCACCUGAGAACGCUCCUUUCUUGCCUCAGAACUGGUAGUAGCCUUCAUGUAAUUUGGUGAUCCACCAGUUGUUCU
RNAcentral lists this unclassified non-coding RNA (264 nucleotides) under Hevea brasiliensis (rubber tree). The record is from RNAcentral. Lineage: Eukaryota; Viridiplantae; Streptophyta; Magnoliopsida; Malpighiales; Euphorbiaceae.